AGAUCUUCAUCUGAACAUACUGUAAAUCUUGUGGAAUUGAAGUAUUUAUAUAAUGGAAAUGCUAAGUCACGGCCUGAAGCAGUGAUUGAGCACCUGGUGGAAGGCAGGGCCAACCCAGGGGAGCUCAGGUGCAUGCAGUGUACCUGAGUGACUGGAAGGGUGGAACAGGAUCCAGCCCUUCCCAGACCUCAUUUAAGGGUUGGCAGUGGAGGCGAGAGAAGUUUGCUGGAGAUUCUUGUUGUACCUGGUGUCUUCUGAGGGUCUUCUGAAAGUGAAGAUGGUGGCUGCUGAUGGGACGCACAGCUCUUUUCCUUGCUCCUGUUUCGGAUGCCAACAUGCCUGCUCCUUAUGGAAGGGUGAGUUGGGGCUGCCCUCUGCUCUUGCUCAGAAGGACUUCUCCUUUGAAGGGGAAGAAGCCUCAGAGACCACAUUUGUCUGCAGUCAGCAACAUCUUCUGAAUGAACUAGAAGCUGAUACAUAAAUCUAAUCCACAAGUAACGCGUUCCUCCAAAAUCCCACAUCCUGGACUGUAUCCCACCAGUACUUGUUUUCCUUUCUCUUCCCAGAAUGUUUCCAUGCGCUAUGGAGUCUCAAAGAAAGUAGCAGCAGGAAGCUUAGAUUCCAUUUCCCGCUCUGUAAUGAAGCUGUCUUGCUAGCAGACUUUAUAUGACAGCAUCCUGGUAUUCAUUGUAAUGCUGGGGAGGUAGCAGCAUCCCUUGCUCUUCAAGAAACCAGCACCUACCGAAGAGGACAGGACUGGAGAUGCUGCCAGAAGAGCCACAAAAGCGUGAUGCAAGCUGUAUCCUCUUGCUGGGCUUUGGGAAUUGCUUUCAGCUGGUUUUGUGCCACUCAGGCUGUUCCUGGUUAACAGAAAGCAGGAGGAGUGCCCUUUUGCCCAAGGUCUGAUUUCCCAGGGGCUGCUGAGGUGCUAGCUGAUUUUUAUUAUUUCUUUUUUUCCCCCUUGUUGCUGCACAGCUACCUGCAUUCCAGUGUAAGUGCAUGAGGAUGUCAGCAACAGUCUGUAUGCUGAAGGUGUAUCAGUGUAAUACAUGAGAUGGUUCUUUUUCCCCAUCUCCUCCACCUCUGUGGGCUCCAGGAUGCUGCCUGAGUUCCCCUUUGGACUCCAGAGUCCCAUUGAGAUCGUGUCUGCCAUGUUUAUGUGCCAUUCUAAUGCUGGUUAUUGCAGCGUAAGUGCUUUUUAAUGCACAGCAUUACAGCAGGUGCAUGCUGUACUCUCCCUUACCAAAUGGCUGUCUGGAGGGAUGUAAUUCCAGCUUCUGCCUCAGCACGCCGUUAUUUACAAGUGUGGUUACAUGGCUUGUGCCACCUCUGAGCUUAAUUUAGUUAAUUUGGCACAUGGUGUGAGAGAAUCACCUUUGCAGAAUGAGUGCUGUGAUUCCCAGCUGGCUCAAGGAUCCUGUAACUGCAUCCCAGAGGUGACAGGACUUCAGAAGAGCAUUCAGAGUGCAGUGGUGUCAGUAACAUGAAGUCCCAUCCCUCCUACAUGUAAAAGUAGAGCAGGACACAUGCAAUGUGUGUCUUGGGGUGGCCAGGUCUGUGGUAGCACCUUGGCCAUUGACAGAGUGCUUUGCUGUCUGGCCCCACAAACACUUUUGGCUAUGGAUUUGCAGAUGUAGUUGUAGAAUAAAAUAAAGAUCCAUCUCAUACUGGACUGGUUCCUAUAGCCAUGGACUGUUUCAGUGUGAAAUUCUGCAGGGAGAGAGAGGUCGGCUGGAAGCAAUACACC
Molecule: long non-coding RNA, 1747 nt
Organism: Tympanuchus pallidicinctus (lesser prairie-chicken)
Lineage: Eukaryota; Metazoa; Chordata; Aves; Galliformes; Phasianidae
Exons: 5
Source: RefSeq, a predicted model, not a curated record